RNAcentral lists this ribosomal RNA (251 nucleotides) under Clostridioides sp. ZZV14-6104. RNAcentral's name for it is "partial 16S ribosomal RNA". It matches the Rfam family "Bacterial small subunit ribosomal RNA", at positions 586 to 841 of the family's 1533-position model. The record is from RNAcentral. Lineage: Bacteria; Bacillati; Bacillota; Clostridia; Peptostreptococcales; Peptostreptococcaceae.
AGUCAGGAGUGAAAGGCUACGGCUCAACCGUAGUAAGCUCUUGAAACUGGGAGACUUGAGUGCAGAAGAGGAGAGUGGAAUUCCAUGUGUAGCGGUGAAAUGCGUAGAUAUUUGGAGGAACACCGGUGGCGAAAGCGGCUCUCUGGUCUGUAACUGACGCUGAGGCUCGAAAGCGUGGGGAGCAAACAGGAUUAGAUACCCUGGUAGUCCACGCUGUAAACGAUGAGUACUAGGUGUCGGGGGUUACCCCC